This 862-nucleotide ribosomal RNA is filed under the name Cyanotrama thujae. RNAcentral describes it as "Neoantrodiella thujae partial large subunit ribosomal RNA". Lineage: Eukaryota; Fungi; Basidiomycota; Agaricomycetes; Hymenochaetales. The record is from RNAcentral.
UAACAAGGAUUCCCCUAGUAACUGCGAGUGAAGCGGGAAGAGCUCAAAUUUAAAAGCUGGUAGCUUUGUUACCCGCGUUGUAAUCUGGAGAAGCGUUUUCCGCGUCGGACCGUGUACAAGUCUCUUGGAACAGAGCGUCAUAGAGGGUGAGAAUCCCGUCCAUGACACGGACUGCCGAUGCUUUGUGAUACGCUCUCGAAGAGUCGAGUUGUUUGGGAAUGCAGCUCAAAAUGGGUGGUAAAUUCCAUCUAAAGCUAAAUAUUGGCGAGAGACCGAUAGCGAACAAGUACCGUGAGGGAAAGAUGAAAAGCACUUUGGAAAGAGAGUUAAACAGUACGUGAAAUUGUUGAAAGGGAAACGCUUGGAGUCAGUCGCGUCUUCCAGGACUCAGCCUUGCCYUCGGGUUUGGUGUACUUCCUGUUAGACGGGUCAACAUCGAUUUUGGUCGGCGGAUAAAGGGAAAGGGAAUGUGGCACCUUCGGGUGUGUUAUAGCCUUUUCUCGUAUACGUCGUCUGGGAUCGAGGACCGCAGCGCGCCUACUAGGCCGGGGGUUCGCCCCACGUACCGCGCUUAGGAUGUUGACAUAAUGGCUUUAAGCGACCCGUCUUGAAACACGGACCAAGGAGUCUAACAUGCUCGCGAGUGUUAGGGUGGAAAACCCUUGCGCGUAAUGAAAGUGAAAGUUGGGACCUCUUUGAGGGCACCGACGCCCGGCCCAGAAGUUUUCUGACGGUGCUGCGGUAGAGCGCGUAUGUUGGGACCCGAAAGAUGGUGAACUAUGCCUGAAUAGGGCGAAGCCAGAGGAAACUCUGGUGGAGGCUCGUAGCGAUUCUGACGUGCAAAUCGAUCGUCAAAUUUGGG